This 534-nucleotide long non-coding RNA is filed under the name Populus trichocarpa (black cottonwood). RNAcentral's name for it is "long non-coding RNA (PTRI_LNC003006)". Lineage: Eukaryota; Viridiplantae; Streptophyta; Magnoliopsida; Malpighiales; Salicaceae. The record is from RNAcentral.
CCACCCUUUUUAUCAAUAAACCCAGGUCCACUCAUCAUACCAUGAGGCCCAUGGCCAUUGCCCAUCAUGGGCAUCAUUUUGUUUGGCAUACCAUGAGGCCCAUGGCCAUUGCCCAUCAUGGCCAUCAUAUUGUUUGGCAUACCAUGAGGUCCAUGACCAUUACCCAUCAUCGGCAUCAUCUUGUUUGGCAUACCAUUAGGUCCAUGACCAUUACCCAUCAUCGGCAUCAUCUUGUUUGGCAUACCAUUAGGUCCAUGGCCAUUACCCAUCAUCGGCAUCAUCUUGUUGAUUGGCAUACCAUGAGGUCCAUGACCAUUACCCAUCAUAGGCAUCAUCUUGUUAGGCAUACCAUUAGGUCCAUGGCCAUUACCCAUCAUAGGCAUCAUCUUGUUAGGCAAGCCAUGGCCAUGGCCAUGACCAAACUCUUCCUCGUCCUCAUCAAAUUCAUCAUCGAACUCAUCAUCAAAUUCAUCAUCGAACUCGUCAUCAAAUUCAUCAUCACUUGCAUCAAAAUCAUCCUCAUUCAGAUUGAAC